CUUCAGAGUCACAAGCAGCUUAAACAUUGUGAUUUCUAUAUAAUACUGUAUCAGAGAUCAGAUUCUGCAGGUUAAACAUUGUGAUUUCUAUAUAAUACUGUAUCUGAGAUCAGAUUCUGCAGGUUAAACAUUGUGAUUUCUAUAUAAUACUGUAUCUGAGUUUAAACAUUGUGAUUUCUAUAUAAUACUGUAUCAGAGAUCAGAUUCUGCAGGUUAAACAUUGUGAUUUCUAUAUAAUACUGUAUCUGAGAUCAGAUUCUGCAGGUUAAACAUUGUGAUUUCUAUAUAAUACUGUAUCUGAGAUCAGAUUCUGCAGGUUCCUUGACACGUACCUUUAUCAAAUAACUCUCAACAUUCAGGAGGUGCAGCUUUAUUCAAUUCAUCCAU
This is a long non-coding RNA of Oncorhynchus tshawytscha (Chinook salmon), 387 nucleotides long. The record is from Ensembl. NCBI's taxonomy places the organism in Eukaryota, Metazoa, Chordata, Actinopteri, Salmoniformes, Salmonidae.